UCAGCAAACAAAGACUGCUGCUGUGUCCUAUCCACCGCCUGCUGCACGGGGUGAGGUGUCACUCCAGGACUCUUUGUGUUGAGUCCCCUGUCGAGUAACCAACUGAGGUCUCUGUGGCUGUCUUCAGGCUCUUCAGUCUCAAGGCUGGGCAACUACAAGGCUUGCAAGCCUGCAGGGUGCAGCCCAACAGUAAAGUAAAAUACAUCCUAUCUCUCUAAUGCCUAAGAGAGACAACUCCAAUUCUGUUCAGUCAUAAUAACAUCAAGCGUAAAGUCCAGAAUCUCUGGUAAUCUUCUAUCAGAAAUGAAGCAAGACAUUUGCAUCAGAUCUAGAUAUGGUUCCUGAUGAUCCAGAGACAUGGAGAUGAUCCUGGUGCAGAUGGACUCAAUGCAACCAUGUAAUCAGAGGAGAAGGAAAGAAGAGUCAGAGAGAAGCAGUAGAAGGGAAGGUCAGAGUAACUCUGAGCAUGAGAAAGACACAAACCACCAUUUCUGGCUUUGAAGAAUGGAGGAAGGUGACCACAAGUCAAAGAAAGCAGGCAAAAUGAGAGGGUAAGCCACGAUACCUGGUGUUGCAUCGCCCUUUGGAGCCAAGCUGCCUCUGAGGGGACUCUCCUGAAUGUCACGACUGAGGAGAAGUCCCAGGGAGAGGGGUUGACCCUGCUGUGCUCCUUCAAACCCUAACAUUUCCACUGUGAACAGGCAGUCAGGGUGCAAAUACACUUGUCACCUCGAAUUU
This is a long non-coding RNA of Bubalus bubalis (water buffalo), 738 nucleotides long. RefSeq lists it as uncharacterized. The record is from RefSeq and is a predicted model, not a curated record. The transcript has 4 exons. NCBI's taxonomy places the organism in Eukaryota, Metazoa, Chordata, Mammalia, Artiodactyla, Bovidae.